Transfer RNA from Camelus ferus (Wild Bactrian camel), 73 nucleotides. It matches the Rfam family "tRNA". From Rfam's summary of the family: Transfer RNA (tRNA) molecules are approximately 80 nucleotides in length. Their secondary structure includes four short double-helical elements and three loops (D, anti-codon, and T loops). The record is from Rfam. Lineage: Eukaryota; Metazoa; Chordata; Mammalia; Artiodactyla; Camelidae.
GAGGGCAUAGCUCAACUGGUAGAGUGCAUGCUUAGCAUGCACAAGGUCCUGGGUUCAAUCCCCAGUACCUCCU